CUGAUAGGCGUCGACCGGCGCACGGGUGAGUAACGCGUAUCCAACCUGCCCAUCACUUGGGGAUAACCUUGCGAAAGUAAGACUAAUACCCCAAUGACGUCUCUAGAAGACAUCUGAAAGAGAUUAAAGAUUUAUCGGUCAUCGAUGGGGAUGCGUUCCAUUAGGUUGUUUGGCGGGGGUUAAACGGCCCACCAAGCCUUCGAUGGAUAGGGGUUCUGAGAGGAAGGUCCCCCACAUUGGAACUGAGACACGGUCCAAACUCCUACGGGAGGCAGCAGUGAGGAAUAUUGGUCAAUGGACGAGAGUCUGAACCAGCCAAGUAGCGUGCAGGAAGACGGCCCUAUGGGUUGUAAACUGCUUUUAUAAGGGAAUAAAGUGAGUCUCGUGAGACUUUUUGCAUGUACCUUAUGAAUAAGGACCGGCUAAUUCCGUG
Molecule: ribosomal RNA, 433 nt
Filed under: uncultured bacterium
Lineage: Bacteria
Description: bacterial SSU rRNA
Rfam family: Bacterial small subunit ribosomal RNA
Source: RNAcentral